Long non-coding RNA from Eriocheir sinensis (Chinese mitten crab), 942 nucleotides. RefSeq lists it as uncharacterized. The transcript has 3 exons. The record is from RefSeq and is a predicted model, not a curated record. NCBI's taxonomy places the organism in Eukaryota, Metazoa, Arthropoda, Malacostraca, Decapoda, Varunidae.
GAUUGGCACGGAUUUCGCCUUCACUGGUAGCCUGGUAACAUACACUCCCAGGUCUUUCUCUGUCUCUGUGGUGGAUAGUGGAGUGUUUCCCAUGUGGUAUUGGUGUGCUGGAUAUCCCUUCACUGGUAGCCUGGUAACAUACACUCCCAGGUCUUUCUCUGUCUCUGUGGUGGAUAGUGGAGUGUUUCCCAUGUGGUAUUGGUGUGCUGGAUAGUCCUUCACUGGUAGCCUGGUAACAUACACUCCCAGGUCUUUCUCUGUCUCUGUGGUGGAUAGUGGAGUGUUUCCCAUGUGGUAUUGGUGUGCUGGAUAUCCCUUCACUGGUAGCCUGGUAACAUACACUCCCAGGUCUUUCUCUGUCUCUGUGGUGGAUAGUGGAGUGUUUCCCAUGUGGUAUUGGUGUGCUGGAUAUCCCUUCACUGGUAGCCUGGUAACAUACACUCCCAGGUCUUUCUCUGUCUCUGUGGUGGAUAGUGGAGUGUUUCCCAUGUGGUAUUGGUGUGCUGGAUAUCCCUUCACUGGUAGCCUGGUAACAUACACUCCCAGGUCUUUCUCUGCCUCUGUGGUGGAUAGUGGAGUGUUUCCCAUGUGGUAUUGGUGUGCUGGAUAUCCCUUCACUGGUAGCCUGGUAACAUACACUCCCAGGUCUUUCUCUGUCUCUGUGGUGGAUAGUGGAGUGUUUCCCAUGUGGUAUUGGUGUGCUGGAUAUCCCUUCACUGGUAGCCUGGUAACAUACACUCCCAGGUCUUUCUCUGUCUCUGUGGUGGAUAGUGGAGUGUUUCUCAUGUGGUAUUGGUGUGCUGGAUAUCCCCUCCCAAGAUGCAGGACUUUACAUUUUUCUUCAUUGAAUUGUAGCAGCCACUUUUUGUUCCAUUCCUGUAGCUUGGUGAUGUCUUCUGGAGGGAAAUACGCAGUCAAAGUGUUAAGAUCUACCAUCCUUUU